RNAcentral lists this ribosomal RNA (427 nucleotides) under uncultured bacterium. RNAcentral's name for it is "partial 16S ribosomal RNA". It matches the Rfam family "Bacterial small subunit ribosomal RNA", at positions 354 to 796 of the family's 1533-position model. The record is from RNAcentral.
GUGAGGAAUCUUCCACAAUGGGCGAAAGCCUGAUGGAGCAACGCCGCGUGAAGGAUGAAGGUCUUCGGAUUGUAAACUUCUUUUAUGAGUGAAGAAUAUGACGGUAACUCAUGAAUAAGCACCGGCUAACUACGUGCCAGCAGCCGCGGUCAUACGUAGGGUGCAAGCAUUAUCCGGAGUGACUGGGCGUAAAGAGUUGCGUAGGCGGUUAUGUAAGCGAAUAGUGAAACCUGGUGGCUCAACCACACAGACUAUUAUUCGAACUGCAUAACUCGAGAAUGGUAGAGGUAACUGGAAUUUCUUGUGUAGGAGUGAAAUCCGUAGAUAUAAGAAGGAACACCAAUGGCGUAGGCAGGUUACUGUGCCAUUUCUGACGCUAAGGCACGAAAGCGUGGGGAGCGAACCGGAUUAGAUACCCUGGUAGUCC